This 440-nucleotide ribosomal RNA is filed under the name uncultured bacterium. Its description in RNAcentral is "partial 16S ribosomal RNA". It matches the Rfam family "Bacterial small subunit ribosomal RNA", at positions 338 to 795 of the family's 1533-position model. The record is from RNAcentral.
CCUACGGGAGGCUGCAGUGGGGAAUAUUGCACAAUGGGGGAAACCCUGAUGCAGCGACGCCGCGUGAGUGAAGAAGUAAUUCGUUACGUAAAGCUCUAUCAGCAGGGAAGAAAAUGACGGUACCUGAGUAAGAAGCCCCGGCUAACUACGUGCCAGCAGCCGCGGUAAUACGUAGGGGGCAAGCGUUAUCCGGAUUUACUGGGUGGAAAGGGAGCGUAGACGGUGCGCCAAGUCUGGAGUGAAAUGCCGCAGCUUAACUGCGGAACUGCUUUGGAAACUGGCGAACUAGAGUGCGGGAGGGGUAAGCGGAAUUCCUAGUGUAGCGGUGAAAUUCGUAGAAAUUAGGGGGAACACCGGUGGCGAAGGCGGCGUACUGGACCGUAACUGACGUUGAGGCUCGAAAGCGUGGGGAGCAGACAGGAUUAGGUACCCGAGUAGUC